This 285-nucleotide ribosomal RNA is filed under the name uncultured bacterium. RNAcentral describes it as "partial 16S ribosomal RNA". It matches the Rfam family "Bacterial small subunit ribosomal RNA", at positions 542 to 826 of the family's 1533-position model. The record is from RNAcentral.
UAUCCGGAUUUACUGGGUGUAAAGGGAGCGUAGACGGUUUUGCAAGUCUGAAGUGAAAGCCCGGGGCUUAACCCCGGGACUGCUUUGGAAACUGUAGAACUAGAGUGCAGGAGAGGUAAGUGGAAUUCCUAGUGUAGCGGUGAAAUGCGUAGAUAUUAGGAGGAACACCAGUGGCGAAGGCGGCUUACUGGACUGUAACUGACGUUGAGGCUCGAAAGCGUGGGGAGCAAACAGGAUUAGAUACCCUGGUAGUCCACGCCGUAAACGAUGAUUACUAGGUGUUGG